GAUGAACGCUAGCGACAGGCCUAACACAUGCAAGUCGAGGGGCAGCACGAAGUAAGCUUGCUUACUUUGGUGGCGACCGGCGCACGGGUGCGUAACAGGUGUGCAAUCUGUCCAUAAUCGGGGAAUAGCCCAGCGAAAGUUGGAUUAAUGCUCCAUGUGAGCAGGGGAGGCAUCUCCUUUGUUUGAAACGUAAGGAUUAUGGGUGAGCACGCUUCUGAUUAGGUAGUUGGUGAGGUAACGGCUCACCAAGCCGACGAUCAGUAGGGGUUCUGAGAGGAAGGUCCCCCCACAUUGGAACUGAGACACGGUCCAAACUCCUACGGGAGGCAGCAGUGAGGAAUAUUGGUCAAUGGGCGAAGCCUGAACCAGCCAAGUCGCGUGAAGGAUGAAGGUUCUAUGGAUUGUAAACUUCUUUUGUCUGAGGUAAAAAAGCGGACGUGUCCGUUCUUGCAAGUAUCAGACGAAUAAGCAUCGGCUAACUCCGUGCCAGCA
RNAcentral lists this ribosomal RNA (492 nucleotides) under uncultured bacterium. Its description in RNAcentral is "bacterial SSU rRNA". It matches the Rfam family "Bacterial small subunit ribosomal RNA", at positions 28 to 513 of the family's 1533-position model. The record is from RNAcentral.